AAUAAUUAAAGGAGAUUUAGUUUUAAUUUGGUAACGUUAUAGAUAUCUUUGCCGAAAAGAAAGGCAACAGAAGGGGAGUGAACAGUUAGAGUUAGUGGGGUUAUGGGUAUUAAAGUAGGGAAGUGAAGGGAGAUUAGAUUUACGUUCUGGAUAUAAAGUUAAAAAAAAAAAGAAGAAGAAAAGAUAGAGAAAAGAGAGGGUGCGUUGUGAGAUAGUGGCUGGAAAAUCAAAGGAAAUAGUUUGAAGUUAUUUGAGGCAAGGAAGUGAGCUUGAAAAGAGGUGAAAGUUUUGACUGGAAACCUAGGAUCAUCCAAGGUAAGGGAAGCUUACCAUA
This 334-nucleotide long non-coding RNA is filed under the name Vigna radiata. Its description in RNAcentral is "long non-coding RNA (VRAD_LNC013752)". The record is from RNAcentral. Lineage: Eukaryota; Viridiplantae; Streptophyta; Magnoliopsida; Fabales; Fabaceae.